RNAcentral lists this ribosomal RNA (253 nucleotides) under uncultured bacterium. RNAcentral describes it as "partial 16S ribosomal RNA". It matches the Rfam family "Bacterial small subunit ribosomal RNA", at positions 524 to 776 of the family's 1533-position model. The record is from RNAcentral.
UACGAAGGGGGCUAGCGUUGUUCGGAAUCACUGGGCGUAAAGCGUACGUAGGCGGAUCGUUAAGUCAGGGGUGAAAGCCUGGAGCUCAACUCCAGAACUGCCUUUGAUACUGGCGAUCUUGAGACCGGGAGAGGUGAGUGGAACUGCUAGUGUAGAGGUGAAAUUCGUAGAUAUUCGCAAGAACACCAGUGGCGAAGGCGGCUCACUGGCCCGGUACUGACGCUGAGGUGCGAAAGCGUGGGGAGCAAACAGG